Molecule: long non-coding RNA, 253 nt
Filed under: Lactuca sativa (garden lettuce)
Lineage: Eukaryota; Viridiplantae; Streptophyta; Magnoliopsida; Asterales; Asteraceae
Description: long non-coding RNA (LSAT_LNC001246)
Source: RNAcentral
UGCCUACGACGAUAAGUCAAGCACUUUUACGUGCCCUACGGGGCCUGAUUAUCUCAUUACAUUCUGCCCUUGAUGUAUUAAUUAUCAUAUUGGCAUAAAAUAUUUGUAAACUAGUUGAUUAAUAAAUCAACAUAAAAUAAAUGUAAACUAGUUGAUUAAUAAAUCAACUACAUAAAAUAAAUGUAACCUAGUUGGUUAAUAAAUCAUAUCAGUACGAUACUUUUAUCUAAUUCUAGUUAAAUAGACAUUUUUA